CAAACGUUUUGAAAAAAUAUAAAUCAAUCUAAUAAAGUAUAAAAAUUAAAAAAAUCAUCUCUUUCUUCUCUCCUUUCCCUCUUCCUCUCAUCCUCCUCCACCACCAAAACUCCACCCUUUGGCCACCUUGAGCGCCAGAUCAACAUAACACCUUGAAGCCCUCACUUUCAUCGUCGAAACCCACCCAACCUUCGACCAUAACUCCAAUCGAUUUGACCGAAAAUUAAAGCCAAAAUAAGCUACCCAAAACAUAUUUAAACAACAAAUUCAACAAUUCUUUAUCACUCUUUAUAGAGAACGUAUUUAUUCAUAAUUGAUGGAUUGAAGCAUAGUGGAGCCUCUAAUUGAAAGGGGAUCAUUGGACAUGGCGUGGUCGCGAUCUGUCUGUGUUCAUUCGAAAUUGGCCAAGACCCAUAUGUUCGGUGGAUGCGCCAUGGUGGGGCUAUGCUAGUGGUUGUGGUCCGCGAUUAGGAGUUACACAACGUCGAAAUUCGUGGUGGAGGGGGCUGACUGCGCCAUGGAGGAAAAAUUCUAUAUCUUUGGAUUUUCCGAUUUGUUUGAUGUUAUGAGGGCGUCUAUAGGUGCGUAGUAACAUGAUUGAUCGAUUUGUGGAAUGGGUAUGAAAUCGGUGUCUUCGAAAACUGAUUUUCUUCCUAGAUUUUGGAGCAUGUUCUUCUGGUUUUGGUUCAGAUUUUUGGUCAAAUUUGCAGAAGUUGAGGUUGGCGGUUGGGUGAGUUGUAAGGAGGGUAAUGAGGGCUUGAAGUCAUAUGUUGGUUUGGCGCCGAAGGUGGCUGGAGUGUAGAGUUUUGGUGGUGGAGGAGGAGGGGAGAGAGAGGAGAGAAGAAAGAGAUGAUUUUUUUUUAAUUUUUAUAAUUUAUUGGACUGAUUUAUAUGUUUUCAAAACGUUUGGG
RNAcentral lists this long non-coding RNA (911 nucleotides) under Olea europaea subsp. europaea. Lineage: Eukaryota; Viridiplantae; Streptophyta; Magnoliopsida; Lamiales; Oleaceae. The record is from RNAcentral.